This 2663-nucleotide long non-coding RNA is filed under the name Callithrix jacchus (white-tufted-ear marmoset). RNAcentral describes it as "lncRNA (ENSCJAG00000070518.1)". The record is from RNAcentral. Lineage: Eukaryota; Metazoa; Chordata; Mammalia; Primates; Cebidae.
UUUCAUGUUUUUCUAUUGUUUUCUUUUUUUGAGACAGAGUGGCUGGGGUAAGUGCUGAUGUAGGCCUAAACCACAGCCCGCAGUGUGGGACCGUCAGAGAGAUCCAGUUCAGUAAUGAUGUGUCCCUCCAUGCCUUCCCGCCAUGAUUUCCUCCACAGGUACUCAGAUUUCUACCAUGACAUCACAAUUAAUCCAACAUGGAUGCUUAAGGGGAAGCAUGGCUGCUCUUCAGAGGUCAGCGUUGAGGAGGACCAAAAGCAACGCAUGGGCCAUGUGAGGUUCAGCUUUCUAGGUGUCUGUAGAGAGAAAUGCUGUCUUUUGGGACCAUGGUCUUAAGCUUGUGGGGGCCCCCAGCAUCCAGGUUUUCCAGGCUUUCGCAAGGAAAUCCGGACAAACAGGAGUCAUGAUCAGGGGACAUGUCUGGUAUCUGGGUAAGUGAUGAUGUGCAUGGUAAACUCACCACAGACCAGGUAAUCUCCACAUAUCUAGGUAAGUGUGAUUCCUUUGUCUGAACGGUUUACCAUUUGAUGGGUUAACAGCUAUUUUGGAAAGAAAGGGGAGCAGCUCCCUAUUCUCCUUGCCAUGUGAUCCUGUUCAUUUCUGUCCUAGGGAGGAAGUUUGAUGUAUAUGCUCUGUCAGUGCUGAUUGUUUGAAAUGUACCCAGGGAACUCACGUGGCACUCUACAUCACAGGAGUAACUGCGGUGGAUUUGCAGGGAAGCUGGCCAGGAAAAAUGGUGUGUCCUAUGAUGGCCUAGACCUUGGAGGGCCUGCGAGCAUCCAGGUACAUUUUUGGCUCCCAUAAUAAUGAUAGCGAGCAGGCGGUUUGUAGGGUCCUGGUGAAAAAGCUGUGUCCUUAGUAACGUUUGUCACACAUGUGGUUUCAGAUUCAAGCAGGCAGAAGUUAGAGAAUGAGGGCAGCCUUGAGGUCUCUCCAGGAGAUUCAGGGUCCAUAGGAUUUGGUAGGGAUUCAGGUAUGAGAUGAUCGUGGCUGUCAUCAUUGUAGUGACCAUGGUAUUUUGAAGGAAUUCAAGGAACAGAUAAUGGACAUGUCCGUAACCAUGGUAGUGCCCAUGUGAUUUUGUAGUUAUAGAAUAAAAAUUACAGUGACCAUAUACAUGGUAAUGCCUAUGGGAUUUUAUAAAUAUCCAGGUAUGAAAUGAGUAUUUCUCCUUAGGAACUGGAUAUGGGAUGCCGAAGUUAUAAAGGUAGGAAAUGAUGAUAAACCUAACCAUGGGAUGACCAUGGUAUUUUCUUGAAAUCCAGAUAAGAGAAGAUGGUGGCUGUAACUCGAGUACCAAAAUUGGGUUUCGUGAGGUGGGCACAUAGGAGCUGAUAAUGUCUCUUUCCAUAUUAGUGAACUUGGCGUUUUGUGGUAUUCCAGAUGUGAUGGUGAACCUGACCACGAAAGUGACAGUGAGAUUUGUCAGGGGUUUGGUAAAGAGAUGAUGGUCCCCUUAAGCGUGAAGGUUAUGAUGAAAUUUUCUCGGUCAAUGAUGAAGAGAUGAUGGUGAUCCUAACCACUGUAGUAAACAAGGGGUUUGUUCAGUACAAAGAAAAGAAAUGAUGUGUCCCUAGCAAUGGCAUUUAAUAUGUGUAAUUUGCAGGUCUCUAUGUAUGGUAUUUCUAAAUCUGGUAGCUCUCAUGGGUUUCUAUAGGCAUCCACAGAGAUGACGUGUCACAAAUUUUAAGCAACUGCCACUCCUGUAUCCAAGGUAUUGUAUAAGUAUCCAGCUAAGAGCUCUGGCUCUAUAUAUUGGUUGGAUGUAAGACUUCCGUGUUAUCUCUUUCUUUCUUUCUUCGAGACAGCAUCUGGCUGAGGUAAGUGCUAAAGGGGGCCGAAACCACAGCCCGCAGCGUCGGACUGUCACAGAGACACAAUUCAGUGACCAUGUGUCCCUGCAUGCCUUCCCACCUUAUUCAGGUGGAAAGUGGUUGAAUCCUUACCAGUCACAGAUAGGUCGGGUUUUCCCAUUUUCUGUUUCAUUGAAAAUGUAUGCUGAACCCUGGGAGUGUUGAGGGAUUGCAGGGAGUCAGGUGUUUAUCACUUUAUUCCCCUGACCUGUGCUACCCCUUUAAUGUCUAUAGGGGUCCAGUUGAGAAGUGGUGGUUUUCUUCUAUCAGGGUCGACCUGGAAUUACUGCAAGUAUACAGGUUGAGUGGGUGUGUCCCCUAAAGAUGGAAAUAAGCAAGAUUUUUUGCAGGAUUCCUCACCAAAACCCUGUGUCCUUCUAUACAUGUGUGCUGGUGCCUCUUUCAGAUUCCUACCGUGACAUCACAAUCCAACAUGGGACCUUAAUGGGAAGCUCGGCUGCUCUGCAGGUUAGCAUGGAUGAGGACCGAAAGCAUCACAUGGGACACGUUGAGUUUCAGCUGUCUAGGUAAGUGAUGAUGGUGUAGGCCUCCCUGUUGUUCCCCUGAUUUCACUUCAGGUGUCCCAGUCAGAAAUGAUAAGAGUCCCUGGCAUACUUGAAACUGUGAGUUUUCCCUCUGCAUAUUUCAGAGAUAAUGCCUAACCCUGUGAGUGCACUGGGAUUGCAAUACCAGGUAACAUCCAUCGUUUUCAACCACAGCAGUGACCAUGAACGUUUUGCUAGUGUCCUAUAGAGAGAAAUUCUGUCUUCUGGGACCACAGCCCUGAGUUUGGGGGUCCCUGCCACCAUC